AAGUGGCAGAGUUAGUGGCACGCGUCUACCAGAUACAGACGAGAGAGCUGGGAAGUGGUGCGUGCCGGCACUGGAACUCAUUACAGAUCAGACAAAUCCAAGCAGUGAGUGAGUUGGAGGACGAUUUCGCUCUUCGGAAGCAAGGAGGAGCCGAAAAUCAGAGUGAAAGAAGAGAGAGCAAACAAGAGGAGGCGAAUGCGAGGAAUAAAGAACUGAGGGUCUAGAAUCGCAAGAAGGGGAGAAAUAUCAGACGAGCAGUGAGAUUGAGAUCGAAAAGGAAGUGGCAUUUGAAGGUAGCCAUUGACCGGAGCUGGUUCUUACGCAUAGGUAUGAACUUCUGCAAACCCUAAAUGGUUGUUUAGUUAGGGUUCGAUGUGGCGAUUUAAGUUUAUUUAUCUUAAAUCUGUAAUCACAUAUAUCAAGUGUCCGUGAUAAAAUGCUCUAUCCUUAACUCAUUCGAUUAAAAUUUGUUGAAAAUCCUGUUGAUGAGCAUAUUGAGAUGCUUUUUUUUUUGUUCAUCAGAUUUAUUUUUCUCAGUAGGUUCAUGAAUGAUUUUGGCUCAUUAUGCAAGAUGAGUGUUUAUUUUUUCUCCACGAAUGCUUGGUGCACCACUUGUUUCAAAUAUUGACCCUCACAUUUAUACUGAGCUCAGCCGGUUUAUGAUCAGUAAAUAUACAUAAACGUAGUUCAAUCUGAUUACAUGGUAUUGGUAUGGCACGGACGAAUGCACUGAUGGUUUCCUUGUUCCUGUUCAACUCUUCUUUUAGAUUAGGGUAAAUUAAAUAAACCACCCUCUAGGUUGAUCCACUCUACAGAUAUACCUCCUGCAUUUUAAAAAUAUGUAGGUUUCCCUUAUGUUACAAAAAUUCCUAUGUUAACCCCCGGUUUUUGAAAAAUAGAAAAAUACCCUCUAGAAUUAUUUGAUAGUACCAUCACUUUCCUGUUUACAGUGUUUUGAUGAUAUAUCUUUAAGAAAUAUUUAACUCUUAAAACUUUAAUAUAUAAAACAGAAAUAUGAGCUGCUGCAACUCCCUGUAUGCUCCGGCUAUAUAUAUUUAAAUUUUUUUCCAUUAGAACUAUUUAUUUUCUAAUCAAGAUGACCUAUGCCAAUAAACAAUGUAAUGCUUGUCAGAAUUGUCUUCAUGAUUUUAAUCUUUUUUUUUUUUUUUUUAUGAGGGAUUUCCAGUUCAAAAAUUAUUAGAUUAAAGAGUUUAGAAUCAUAAGCAUUUUGGGAUUGUUUAUUUUCAACUUAUAAGCAAUUUUAAUUACCCUGCUUCAAUCUUUGUGUUUGGUUCCGUAAAAACCACGGUACGAAUUAGAUUCUUAAAUUGACUUUUUGAAUUUAAAAAUAAGCACAUCAAUUCUUAGUUAUUUUCUAUGUAUAUGAAAAUUUCUCUUAUUUACCUUCUUGAUAUCCACUUAAAAUUAGCAAUAUAUAGAUAUAAUAAUUUAAAUUAACAAAUAUUUGUAAUAUACAUGUGUUUUUAUUAAUUUUUUUAAAAUUUAAAAGUUGUUUAGGUUUUGUAAGAAGUAUUUUAUCCAAGUGCAUAAUUGCUUAGUUGUUAAAUAAUAAGUUAUUGACUUUAAUUAAUUUAAAGUACUAUAGUGUUUUAAGUGCAGCUCAUUCUAGAAAGCAACAAAUAAUGGAAUAUUGCCAUCUUUGAGAAAGUUGAAGUCCAGUAGUGCCACCACAUUUAUUCGAAUUUAACAAAUCAAAACACAAAUUCCAAUAACAAUUGCAUAAAUAUUCCCAUAAAACCAAAUGGCCUUCCUCCGCAAAAAAAUCCGCUAUAUCCUCUGUGCUCUUCUGCACCUUUUCCCUACUCUCCCACACAUCUAUGAAAACUUUAAGUGUUCCCUUCCAUCGUUUUUUGUUUCCUUUGCUGUCAGAGUCAGCUUCCUCUCUUCAUAAUUUGAUGGAAAGAACCAAACUAAGGUGUAGGCAUGAAAUAACCAAUGGGUGGAGGGUGGGGGAAGAAAUGGUGUGAGGAAUGAGGAAACCUGGAACAAAAAUUAUAUGGUUGCAACUUGAUGGAUUCAGAACUAACAUGCUCGAGUGGUGGAAUGAGAUUAAGGUGAAAGGAUAGGAGAGCUUCUGAUUAAUGAAGAAGCUAUGAUACUUGGAAAAGUAUAUUAAAGGUAUGGAUUAAGGAGGUUUCUAGAGAUAUUGGCAUGAAGAAAAAGGAUAUGCUUGAGAAGAUGUACUUUCUUUGGUAAAUUAGCCUUUAGGAAAUUGAUUAUGGGAAUAUGCUUGCCAUAGAGCCAUCUAUAAGAUCGCCAUCAAAGAGAGGUUUUCAAUUUUUUACUCGAAGGAUAUACUUGAUAAGGUAGUCAGCUCAAUUUGGGUUUAUGACACAAAUCUUCAUAUAUCGUGUCAUAACUUGAAGGUUAGACUAGAUACUGAAUGUAGAGUUGCCAUAAAGUCCCAUUACGAAUUUUGCAAGUUGUUGGUUAUGUCAUUUAGUUUUUUUUAAUGUUUUAAGCAUUUCUUGGGAGCAUUGCCCUGUGGCAUACAACAUUUAAUUGGCAAAAUUACUGUGAUCUCUAACCAUUCUAAGAGUAAGAAUGUUGAUCAUCUUGUCACAGAUUUUUGAAGUGUUCCUUUAGCUUCAUAUGUUCUUUCAAGAUCUAUGUGAUAAAUCUCCUGUCGUGAAGCAUUUGGAUAAGUUGUGUGAUAGUUCUUGUGAUUCUUCAGAAAUGCGUAUGGAAGUGUUGUUAGUAAAAGAUAGUCUUAUUGUGUUCCCCGACCAUGGAUUGUCUGGAGUUAAACAAGAGUAUCUUACCUUUUAACAAAGAACUUUUUAGCUGAGUUAACUACCUUCAUCCAUGUAGAUAUUACUUCCUAGGAAGCUUCUCUCAUCCUUGAGGUACUUGUCUUUCCAAAGAAAAUUGCAUGGUAGUCAUGAUCAGUGAGUCUAGUUCUCUGAUAAUGUCAAUAUGUUCCUAAUUGUUUUUUAAGUAUUUUGAACAAUGCUGGUUUUGUGUUCAAAGAGAUAGCUAGGGUUGUGGUUUGAGGACUUGUUUAGAUGCACUUUCAAACCAAUACAAGACAUUUGGGCUUAGGCUUUUGCUACCAUGAAAUUUACUUAUGGCAGUUAUGUUAUUUGGUCCACUGCUGAAACAUGCCUUUUAAAUUUUCUUUAUCGCUUUUGCACUAAUAGACCUAUUUAUUUCAUAGUUAUUUCCAAUGAUUCUUGUCAUUCUAAGCCAACCAUAUCAAUCACCAAACUAAAUUCCUGAUUUGCAUAGGGAGAUUAAAUAUAAGAUUGCAAUUAGUAAUGCAGGUUAUAGACUUGUUAAGUUGUGAAGUGUAGGGCCAAGAAGUUUAUUUUCUUUUAUUUAUUUUUGAAAGAAAGGGCCAAGGAGUUUAUUAUUAUUGCUGAUUAUGUCAUGAUCUACAUCAUGUGUAACACCCAAAAUAUUUUUUUUUAUAUAUUAUUUUUAUUUUUAUUUAUUUUUCUUUUUUUUGUGUUUGAAUUUUUUUGGAUUUAAUUUAAUUUAAUUUAAUUUAAUUUAAUGAAAAUAAAAAUAAUAAUAAUGAUAAAAUUGGGUAAAAAUAUUAUGUGGAUUUAAUUGAAAUUGAUUUUGGGAAAAAGGGGUGAAAAUUUGGAUUCUGGGAGUGUUUUUGAAAAGAAAAUCGGAAACUGGGGGU
RNAcentral lists this long non-coding RNA (3652 nucleotides) under Carica papaya (papaya). RNAcentral describes it as "long non-coding RNA (CPAP_LNC007966)". Lineage: Eukaryota; Viridiplantae; Streptophyta; Magnoliopsida; Brassicales; Caricaceae. The record is from RNAcentral.